UUGUAAAAGGAAAUUUGUCGGUGUGCGAAAGGAUUUAAUUAAUACAGUGUGUGCUUAAUAUUUAAAUAUAACAUAUCACACAUUAGGCUACGUGCGAUAAGCUGACAUAGGGGAGGAACACUUGCUACUCCUUUACACUAUAAUAGGCUAUGGGGGAGGAAUACUUGCUACUAAUUUACACCAUGCUAGGCUAUGAUAAGCUGACAUGGAUGAUAUUUGCAACUCUCGAAAUGGUAGGGUACUGUAAGAUGACAUGGGCGAUAUUUGAAACUCCUUGAUAUAAUAGUAGGCUACAGUAAGAUAACAUAGGCGAUAUUUGCAACUCCUUGACAUGAUAGGCUACGGUAAGCUGGCAUGGGAAUAUUUGCGACUCUUAUUAUGCUAGGCUACAGUAAGAUGACGAGGGGUAUUUGCAACUCUGGCAUGGAUUAGGCUACAGUACUCUUAAUAUGCUAGGCUACAGAAAGAUGACGAGGGAUAUUUGCAACUCCAUUAUGCUAGGCUACAGUAAGAUGACAAUGGCGAUAUUUGUAACUCCUUUAUAUGCUAGGCUACGGUAAGAUGACAUGGGGAUAUUUGCAACACCACUAUGCUAAGCUACGGUAAGAUGACAUGCGGAUAUUUGCAACUCCAUUAUGCUAGGUUACAGUAAGACGACAUGGGGAUAUUUGCAACUCCACUAUGCUAGGUUACAGUAAGGUGACAUGGGGAUAUUUGCAACUCCACUAUGCUAGGUUACAGUAAGGUGACAUGGGGAUAUUUGCAACUCCAUUAUGCUAGGUUACAGUAAGGUGACAUGGGGAUAUUUGCAACUCCACUAUGCUAGGUUACAGUGAGGUGACAUGGGGAUAUUUGCAACUCCACUAUGCUAGGUUACAGUAAGGUGACAUGGGGAUAUUUGCAACUCCACUAUGCUAGGUUACAGUAAGGUGACAUGGGGAUAUUUGCAACUCCACUAUGCUAGGUUACAGUAAGGUGACAUGGGGAUAUUUGCAACUCCAUUAUGCUAGGUUACAGUAAGGUGACAUGGGGAUAUUUGCAACUCCACUAUGCUAGGUUACAGUAAGGUGACAUGGGGAUAUUUGCAACUCCACUAUGCUAGGUUACAGUAAGGUGACAUGGGGAUAUUUGCAACUCCAUUAUGCUAGGUUACAGUAAGGUGACAUGGGGAUAUUUGCAACUCCACUAUGCUAGGUUACAGUGAGGUGACAUGGAGAUAUUUGCAACUCCAUUAUGCUAGGUUACAGUAAGGUGACAUGGGGAUAUUUGCAACUCCUUGAUAUGCUAGCCUACGAUAAGAUAACAUGAGGAUAUUUGGAACUCCAUUAUGCGAGGUUAUAUUAAGAUGACAUGGGGAUAUUAAAUUUUACAACUCUGUUUUGCUAGGCUACGGUAAACUGGCAUAAGGAAGUCCCUUAUAAGCAGCACGCUGCCCGUCAGGCACAGACAGGUAUGGGUGGCAGUAUAUUAGUGUGCGUGGCAGUGUGCUGCUCAGUGCCAGCACAGUGGUUAGAUUAAAUCCGGACGUUGUGCCCUUUCCGAAUUUUUUGAGAAAAUUUUAAUGUGCUGGUUCUGCAUCAACACCGUCGCCCCAAGAGACGGCCAGCAGCCAGGGGCCAUAUUCAGAAAACACUUACAACGUUGUAAGGCCGAGGUACAACCACCCGAAUUCAGGAAGCAUCCGGGGAGGUUGUAAAGGAGGUGUAAGGACUAAGGAGGAUGUAAGUUACAACCUCGACGGAGGUGGUGUAAAUCUUACAACCUUCUUUAUAUUGACAUGAAAUAUGUCCUAAUUAGUGUUUCUUGACAAAAAAAAUGAAAGUAUAAGAGUUUUUUCCUUAAAAGCGAGAUGAUACAUGAGUUGCUUGUGUUUACAUCCUCAGUCAGACCACUGCCAGCACCCACGAAUUUUAUUGGCUAAGGGACAAAAAUACAUUCGGUAAUACUGAAGUUUAGGACCAGUAUGCAUUUCACUACAUAGACAAGCUUUACCCCAUGCUUUUUGUGUGUUUUGAACGAUUCUAAGCUUCGCUUUCACCAGAAAUACUUCUGUUUCCCCUUCCCUCCCUUCGGAUGAGGAAAUAGGGGAAACGAUGUAUUCACCGAUGCCAAUGAAGGUCAAAACAUAAAAAAAAAAACAUAAAAAAACAUCAGAAGAAACUAUUGUACAUGGUGUAAUUUUUAAUGAUUUAGCUAUUAAUGUGUUAAAUGUGGUGCAGCAACACUAUAUUAAUUAAGUCCGCCGUGGGGUGUACACCAUAUGUCGCCUGCCGCUGCCCUGGCCACGGCACGUCACGCAAGCCGAUGCCAUGUUUGGCUUUUCCAAUUUCUACCUUUCUACCGUCAGUAACACUUAAGUCGCCACUGCGUUAAAGUCGCCAGACGUCAUAUAUUAUGAAUAUUAGCGUCACUGAUGACUUGAAUGUGCCACUAGAGAGGUGCAUGUAACUGUUCCAGUUGUGACUGUCUGAUCUCAGUUAUUUCAGUGACGCUAAAUUCAUAAUAUAUGACGUCUGGCAACCUUAACGCAGUGGCGUCUUUCAGUGAUUGGCUGGCACAUUUUCUUCAUCGACUCUGACUCACUCGUGACUCGCUAGGACGAGUCUGAUGACGUCAUGAAUGCCUCGCCCAAUCAGCUGCCUCUCUGAGCUACAACCUUCCCAUCUCUGAGUUACACCCUCCCCGCAACCUCCUUUCUGAAUGCGGGUGCAGCGCAGGUUGUCCGGAGGGUAUAAGUCUCCAGGGCCCGGUAUCACAAACUGACUCAGUAACUACGAACUAACAUAACUACGCACUAUUGAUUUAGCUACCGACGUUAGCGUCAGAUUCACGAAGCAAACCUUAGAUUGUAGUUAGAGGCGCGCUAAGUCAGCGAGGCCGCUGAUUGGUUGAUGACGUCAAUGGCCUUGCAGCGAAUCGUAAGCACGUUUACAGAACCGUCAGCCAAUCCUAGGGAGCCCCCACCAGCUGCUGGUUCAAGAAACCCAUUCUCUUUUCCCAUUUUUCUUCCUUUCAAGGCAAACUGUACAAAAUCGUAAUCUACGAAUUCAAUUAUUUCGUUGUUUGCUGCACAUUUACGUCAAAGUAGCUCUGCUGUUCAAUGUCUUGUUACCUACGAACAUGCUUAAGAUGAAGAAAAAGAAGAUACGGAGGAGAUUGAGGCAGGAAGAAAGCAAGUAGAAAUAUGGGACAGAUAUUGAGGCAGACAGAACGAAGGACGGAAGGAAGGAAUAGGGAAAAUUAAGACUGUCUUGCCAUAUCUGCGGCCCAACUCAUGGGAUAGCUGUCACCCGACAAAGGUCCAUGGUCCCUCCACGGAUGGGGGCGGUGUCACGGGCAAAAUUAAGCCCGGACAUCCACAUGCCUCUGUUAUCUUAGCUCAAGCUCGUGUAUGUGGGGUUCUUUUCGACUGAUAUGGCGUCUAGAACUAGCAUAAUCAUCAUUCUUUAUUAUGAUGACAAAGACCAUGUCAAAAUUUGCCUCAUUAAAUAAGAAAGUACAUAAAGUUCGGCAGCUUUUCCUCGUCUCCAAGCCAUCCUCCAGAGCAGCACUCCGACAUCCAUGAUCGCACAUUCAUUUUUCUCAGAAAAUAGGAUACCAAUCACAUAUACAUCAAUAUAUUUCCACAGGUGAAUACUUAGGGCAUGUUCACACCAAGUUGCGACACCUGAGAUUCAUUAAUAAUGACAGGGGAAGGAAAAAUAUAGGCCCCUGUCAUCGAUAAAAUUGAGCCUCGGGCAGAAUUGAGUCUGGGCAUCUAUGUGCCUCGGAUUUCUUCGCUAUUAUAUAUUGUAAGAUCGUUCUGUUGACAUGUAUGGGUAAAUUAACGCUUUCUGUAUCUACAUAUAGAAGGAAAACGCAAAAUUCUCCCUAGUAAAUCAGAAAUUACAUAAAGUCCGGCAACUUUUCCUCGUCGCCAAGCCAUCCUUCACGGCAGGCAGAGGAGGGAGGUCUGGCAAUCCCCCGGCCGGGUGUUGCCAUACCUCCCACACUUAUCAUAUACCUCUCAAAGGGUGCAUAUCUCAUCAUUUUAUAAAGAAAUGGGCCUCCUCUACUCGCAAAGUUAUAUUUCAAGUUGAAAAACGCGAUUUAUAAGCAUUUAUACGUAAAUCUGAUUAUAUUGUUAGCGUUACCGUCAGCUCCGAGGCAGUAGUUAUUUAACAACAAAUUUAACGUCACACAGAGCGCGGUAAACGUUUGUAGAUCCGCGCGCUAACCCGUGACGUCAUCGAUUAGUUGGUAGUUAGCUUUGUGAAUCUCGAUGUUCUCAAAACUACGCACUAAGGGCCCAAAACUACGAACUAAGCCUUUGUGGAUCCGGGCCCAGGCACAGUACAGGGGCACGGCAGACACGCACACCGGAUGCACACAACUCGCGAGCGGAGCAGCUCAACACUCUCUAAGCCCAGACACGCCACCCUCAGCUGCUCCUCAGCCACCCUUGCUCGCAACAGCCGACUCAGCACUUCCUGCCCGGCGGCCGGUGGCCCCGGGCUCCCCUCUGUCUCUCUUGUCCCAACAAGUAGAGUUGCACCAUGCUGAGCUAACAUUGCAUCAUGCUACAAUUUCAUCACAUUACACAUACAAUCAUUCACAUACAGCACAUUCGUAACACUAUCCCCUCCUUCAAAAGCAGUCGACCCGGCUGCCCCAACAUUCAACAAACAAAACACAUGAAAUAAAUCAAACUAAUCAGUCCCCUGGGACAUCACUAAAGUCUCUUAACCAUCCCGGCCGACGCCUCUCUCGCCGAGGGCGCCGCUGGGAUGCGGGCGGCGGCAGGCAGGCGGUGGCACCCAGACCCGCAUCGUCGGCCCCAAGUACUUGCUCAGGGUCGUCACUGACAUCUGCCGCUUCGCCCGCACCGCCCAUGUUCUCGUUCGCCCCUUGGUCGA
Molecule: long non-coding RNA, 4895 nt
Organism: Eriocheir sinensis (Chinese mitten crab)
Lineage: Eukaryota; Metazoa; Arthropoda; Malacostraca; Decapoda; Varunidae
Exons: 3
Source: RefSeq, a predicted model, not a curated record